GGAGACCAGAGGUUAGCUUCACUUUUUAUAUUAAACUCUGUUGUUCGGGAAUUUGAAGGGUGUAGUUAAAUGAAGGUGCUGCUUCUGCUGGGCUCCUCUCCCCUGUCCCCGCCUCCUUCCAGGCAACAGCUCACUGGUGUGUCCGUGUUUAGUUUCCACGAGUGGAGCUUGUUGUUGGUGUGUUUGAAGAAACUGUAGAAAGUGUGUGUGAGCUGAGCAGCAUGGAUCAGUGUGAGGACAGAGAGGAGGGAGCCCCUCCCUCUAAAAGAGCCAGAGAGAGCCAGACCAAAGCUCAGAGGUGACCAUCUCUAACUGUGCAUGACUCUUCUCCAUGUUCAGCACUCACAUCACUGCUCCAUCAUUAUUCACAGGGACCAGCCUGGACCUCCACCCAGCUCUGUGUCCUUACAGAGUGGCCGGUCUAAAGGUCAGGUCAUAAAUUUUAAUGUCCAGCAGGAGUUUGCUGCAGAGAGGUGAGCUGUUAGCAACAUGAACUCUUUGAUGUCAGUUUGGUGUCUGAUUUAAAUGAACUGUUUUUAUUGUGUUUCCUGGUCUCUAAAUUGCAUAUCUGUAGCAGUAUAAGUCUGUACAAGGUAUAAAAUAGGCACUUAAUGACUCUGAUUAGAACAGAUCAUGAAAGAAAUUAACGGUUCCAUGAACAAUAAGAAAAUCAUAGACAGACUAAAGCUUGACAUUGUCUUUGGGACAUUAUUUACAAGUAUAUCAAUGAUGCAAAAUGUAACUUAAAUCCAUUCCCGACUCCUGGCGGCAAAACACGCACUCAUACACAGAAAUGUGUAGGCAGUCCUUAGCUUAAGGUAAACUUUUCACAAAAUGAUAUAUCCAUGUUGCACUACCGGUUUUCACGCAAUGAUGCAGCGCUGACUGAAGCCCGAUCACGCUGUUAAGUGGGCAGCCCCAAGAUGGCGGAUAAUUAGUUGCAGCUGUGCAGCUCGGAUCAGCAACAGGUGUGUGCGGCCAGCCUCAGCGCAGGAACACUCUCAGGGACGCUCGUCAUCACUCGACGGUGAACAAUCCCAUCACGAGAGAGAGAGAGAGGGAGGGAGCAACCAAAACAACAACUUUUUCAGCUAUUUAUUAAUAAGUGGCUUUUAUGUGGAUAUAUGCCUGUAUAUAUGGUGCUAUUCUUAGUUAGUGUAUUGUCUGUCUCUGUUAAUGUUUGUUUAUAAUGCAGCACUGUAACGAAACACAAUUUCCCCC
Long non-coding RNA from Astatotilapia calliptera (eastern happy), 1221 nucleotides. NCBI's taxonomy places the organism in Eukaryota, Metazoa, Chordata, Actinopteri, Cichliformes, Cichlidae. The record is from Ensembl.